UACGGAGGGUGCAAACGUUGCUCGGAAUCAUUGGGCGUAAAGCGCGUGUAGGCGGCUUUGCAAGUCGGGUGUGAAAGCCCUCGGCUCAACCGAGGAAGUGCGCCCGAAACUGCAGAGCUUGAGUACCGGAGAGGAUGGCGGAAUUCCCCAAGUAGAGGUGAAAUUCGUAGAUAUGGGGAGGAACACCGGUGGCGAAGGCGGCCAUCUGGACGGAUACUGACGCUGAGACGCGAAAGCGUGGGGAGCGAACAGG
This 253-nucleotide ribosomal RNA is filed under the name uncultured bacterium. RNAcentral's name for it is "partial 16S ribosomal RNA". It matches the Rfam family "Bacterial small subunit ribosomal RNA", at positions 524 to 776 of the family's 1533-position model. The record is from RNAcentral.